This 170-nucleotide ribosomal RNA is filed under the name uncultured Acetobacteraceae bacterium. RNAcentral's name for it is "partial 16S ribosomal RNA". It matches the Rfam family "Bacterial small subunit ribosomal RNA", at positions 338 to 524 of the family's 1533-position model. The record is from RNAcentral. Lineage: Bacteria; Pseudomonadati; Pseudomonadota; Alphaproteobacteria; Acetobacterales; Acetobacteraceae.
CCUACGGGAGGCAGCAGUGGGGAAUCUUGCGCAAUGGGCGAAAGCCUGGCGCAGCAACGCCGCGUGCGGGAUGACGGCCUUCGUGGUUGUAAACCGCUUUCAGUAGGGACGAAGAUGACGGUACCUGCAGAAGAAGCUCCGGCUAACUACGUGCCAGCAGCCGCGGUAAU